CCUGGCUCAGGACGAACGCUGGCGGCGCGCCUAACACAUGCAAGUCGAACGAGAGAUGAGGAGCUUGCUCUUCAAAUCGAGUGGCGAACGGGUGAGUAACGCGUGAGGAACCUGCCUCAAAGAGGGGGACAACAGUUGGAAACGACUGCUAAUACCGCAUAAGCCCACGGCUCGGCAUCGAGCAGAGGGAAAAGGAGCAAUCCGCUUUGAGAUGGCCUCGCGUCCGAUUAGCUGGUUGGUGAGGUAACGGCCCACCAAGGCGACGAUCGGUAGCCGGACUGAGAGGUUGAACGGCCACAUUGGGACUGGGACACGGCCCAGACUCCUACGGGAGGCAGCAGUGGGGAAUAUUGCACAAUGGGGGAAACCCUGAUGCAGCGACGCCGCGUGGAGGAAGAAGGUCUUCGGAUUGUAAACUCCUGUUGUUGAGGAAGAUAAUGACGGUACUCAACAAGGAAGUGACGGCUAACUACGUGCCAGCAGCCGCGGUAAAACGUAGGUCACAAGCGUUGUCCGGAAUUACUGGGUGUAAAGGGAGCGCAGGCGGGAGAACAAGUUGGAAGUGAAAUCCAUGGGCUCAACCCAUGAACUGCUUUCAAAACUGUUUUUCUUGAGUAGUGCAGAGGUAGGCGGAAUUCCCGGUGUAGCGGUGGAAUGCGUAGAUAUCGGGAGGAACACCAGUGGCGAAGGCGGCCUACUGGGCACCAACUGACGCUGAGGCUCGAAAGUGUGGGUAGCAAACAGGAUUAGAUACCCUGGUAGUCCACACCGUAAACGAUGAUUACUAGGUGUUGGAGGAUUGACCCCUUCAGUGCCGCAGUUAACACAAUAAGUAAUCCACCUGGGGAGUACGACCGCAAGGUUGAAACUCAAAGGAAUUGACGGGGGCCCGCACAAGCAGUGGAGUAUGUGGUUUAAUUCGACGCAACGCGAAGAACCUUACUAAGUCUUGACAUCCCUUGACGAACAUAGAAAUAUGUUUUCUCUUCGGAGCAAGGAGACAGGUGGUGCAUGGUUGUCGUCAGCUCGUGUCGUGAGAUGUUGGGUUAAGUCCCGCAACGAGCGCAACCCUUAUGGUCAGUUACUACGCAAGAGGACUCUGGCCAGACUGCCGUUGACAAAACGGAGGAAGGUGGGGAUGACGUCAAAUCAUCAUGCCCUUUAUGACUUGGGCUACACACGUACUACAAUGGCGUUAAACAAAGAGAAGCAAGACCGCGAGGUGGAGCAAAACUCAGAAACAACGUCCCAGUUCGGACUGCAGGCUGCAACUCGCCUGCACGAAGUCGGAAUUGCUAGUAAUCGUGGAUCAGCAUGCCACGGUGAAUACGUUCCCGGGCCUUGUACACACCGCCC
Molecule: ribosomal RNA, 1356 nt
Filed under: uncultured bacterium
Lineage: Bacteria
Description: bacterial SSU rRNA
Rfam family: Bacterial small subunit ribosomal RNA
Source: RNAcentral